UACGUAGGGUGCAAGCGUUAUCCGGAAUUAUUGGGCGUAAAGAGCUCGUAGGCGGUGUGUCGCGUCGGCCGUGAAAACCUGCAGCUUAACUGUGGGCGUGCGGUCGAUACGGGCAUCACUGGAGUUCGGCAGGGGAGACUGGAAUUCCUGGUGUAGCGGUGAAAUGCGCAGAUAUCAGGGGGAACACCGGUGGCGAAGGCGGGUCUCUGGGCCGAUACUGACGCUGAGGAGCGAAAGCGUGGGGAGCGAACAGG
Molecule: ribosomal RNA, 254 nt
Filed under: uncultured bacterium
Lineage: Bacteria
Description: partial 16S ribosomal RNA
Rfam family: Bacterial small subunit ribosomal RNA
Source: RNAcentral